RNAcentral lists this ribosomal RNA (468 nucleotides) under uncultured bacterium. RNAcentral's name for it is "partial 16S ribosomal RNA". It matches the Rfam family "Bacterial small subunit ribosomal RNA", at positions 28 to 507 of the family's 1533-position model. The record is from RNAcentral.
GACGAACGCUGGCGGCGUGCUUAACACAUGCAAGUCGAACGGAAAGGCCCUGCUUUUGUGGGGUGCUCGAGUGGCGAACGGGUGAGUAACACGUGAGUAACCUGCCCUUGACUUUGGGAUAACUUCAGGAAACUGGGGCUAAUACCGGAUAGGAGCUCCUGCUGCAUGUGGGGGGUUGGAAAGAUUCGGCGGUUGGGGAUGGACUCGCGGCUUAUGAGCUUGUUGGUGGGGUAGUGGCAUACCAAGGCUUUGACGGAUAGCCGGCAUGAGAGGGGUACCGGCGACAUGAGGACUGCGAUAGGCCCCAGAAGCCAACGGGAGGCAACGGGGGGAAGCUUGACACAACGGGCUGAAGCCAGAUGCGGCGACGCCGGGUGCGGAAAACCGUCCUAUGGGUUGAAAACCACUUUGGCAGGAGCCGAGGAGGGCUUGACGGUAAUGGAUAAGAAAGCCCCGGCUAACUACGUG